GUUUCUGUGGUGAGGGGGCUGCCGGUGGUUUGUUCUUUCAACUAAAUCCUGUUGUUGCUAGCCGUUUGGGUCUAUACUGCGCUUAUGAACUGCAACACUCCCCGUGAAAGUCUGCAGCUUUACUCAUCAAGCCAAUGAGACUGUGAAUCUGCUAGAAGGAACGGACAACUCCAGCUGCACUGCCUUAGAGAGCUUGUAACACCGCAAAGGUCUGCAGCUUCACUGCUGAGGCAUCUGAAAAACCUCUUGCACAUGGACAAACAUUUAUUGGAGGAAUGAAGACAAAGUUGGAGACUGCCUGUAGCUCCAUGACACCUUGUCUGACAAACUAGUCAGCUCUCCUUGGACUUAGCCGUGGGAAGGCUCUCAGAUGGUGGCAAGAAACUCAGUGAGUCGGAUAUUUUACCUUAAUGGUUGACAACAUUGUUGGGGGAUACGAUCUUUUUUGUAAGGAACUUGAAAAACUAAGGUCUGUCAUAUAGGUAAAUAACAACUGUUGAAAAAAGAUAAGAGAAAGGAAAAAUGAACAUAGAAG
This 535-nucleotide long non-coding RNA is filed under the name Homo sapiens (human). Its description in RNAcentral is "non-protein coding lnc-CNIH1-1:3". The record is from RNAcentral. Lineage: Eukaryota; Metazoa; Chordata; Mammalia; Primates; Hominidae.